GGCAAUCAAAACAAGCUCAAAUAGGACACAACUUGGUACAUCAAUUUAGCACAAGCCUAAAACAGAAUUGGCAAAUGAUAAAGACCUCAAACCAAAGCCACAAUAAACUUCAAUAUGUCUAGAAACAAUGUGCAAAAUUUCACAUUCAUAGGAUAAACGACCAUCAUUUCACAAAUCAUUGAAGUUCAAGACUAUUCAA
Molecule: long non-coding RNA, 199 nt
Filed under: Lathyrus oleraceus (garden pea)
Lineage: Eukaryota; Viridiplantae; Streptophyta; Magnoliopsida; Fabales; Fabaceae
Description: Pisum sativum (pea) long non-coding RNA (PSAT_LNC035876)
Source: RNAcentral